CGCGUAGGCGGUCUGUUAAGUGUAGAGUGAAAGCUCCGGGCUCAACCCGGAAACUGCUCUGCAUACUGGCAGACUGGAGGAAUGGAGAGGUAUGUGGAAUUCCUGGUGUAGCGGUGAAAUGCGCUGAUAUCAGGAGGAACACCCAUGGCGAAGGCAGCAUACUGGCCAUUAUCUGACGCUGAGGCGCGAAAGCGUGGGUAGCAAACA
This 207-nucleotide ribosomal RNA is filed under the name uncultured bacterium. Its description in RNAcentral is "partial 16S ribosomal RNA". It matches the Rfam family "Bacterial small subunit ribosomal RNA", at positions 568 to 774 of the family's 1533-position model. The record is from RNAcentral.